GAGUUUGAUCGUGGCUCAGAAUGAACGCUGGCGGCGUGCCUAAUACAUGCAAGUCGUGCGGCAGCAUGCCCUUCGGGGUGAUGGCGAGCGGCGGACGGCUGAGUAACGCGUAGGAAUCUACCCCAAAGUGAGGGAUAACUCCGGGAAACCGGAGCUAAUACCGCAUAUGGUCUUCGGAUUAAAGCUUCGGCGCUUUGGGAAGAGCCUGCGUUCGAUUAGCUUGUUGGUGAGGUAAUGGCUCACCAAGGCGACGAUCGAUAGCUGGUCUGAGAGGAUGACCAGCCAGACUGGAACUGAGACACGGUCCAGACUCCUACGGGAGGCAGCAGUAAGGAAUAUUACACAAUGGGGGAAACCCUGAUGUAGCAACGCCGCGUGCAGGAUGAAGGCCUUC
Molecule: ribosomal RNA, 394 nt
Filed under: uncultured bacterium
Lineage: Bacteria
Description: bacterial SSU rRNA
Rfam family: Bacterial small subunit ribosomal RNA
Source: RNAcentral